GACGAACGCUGGCGGCGUGCUUAACACAUGCAAGUCGAACGAUGAUGCUGGAGCUUGCUCCAGUUGAUUAGUGGCGAACGGGUGAGUAACACGUGAGCAAUCUGCCCUUGACUCUGGGAUAACUGCGGGAAACUGUAGCUAAUACCGGAUACUUUCACCGGAAGGCAUCUUCUGGUGAUGAAAGAAUUUCGGCCAAGGAUGGACUCGCGGCCUAUCAGCUAGUUGGUGAGGUAAAGGCUCACCAAGGCGACGACGGGUAGCCGGCCUGAGAGGGUGACCGGCCACACUGGGACUGAGACACGGCCCAGACUCCUACGGGAGGCAGCAGUGGGGAAUAUUGCACAAUGGGCGCAAGCUUGAUGCAGCAACGCCGCGUGAGGGAUGACGGCCUUCGGGUUGUAAACCUCUUUUAGCAGGGAAGAAGCGAAAGUGACGGUACCUGCAGAAAAAGCACCGGCUAACUACGUGCCAGCCGCCGCAGAAA
This 484-nucleotide ribosomal RNA is filed under the name uncultured bacterium. RNAcentral describes it as "partial 16S ribosomal RNA". It matches the Rfam family "Bacterial small subunit ribosomal RNA", at positions 28 to 523 of the family's 1533-position model. The record is from RNAcentral.